This 72-nucleotide transfer RNA is filed under the name Ornithorhynchus anatinus (platypus). It matches the Rfam family "tRNA". Rfam says of the family: Transfer RNA (tRNA) molecules are approximately 80 nucleotides in length. Lineage: Eukaryota; Metazoa; Chordata; Mammalia; Monotremata; Ornithorhynchidae. The record is from Rfam by way of RNAcentral.
AGCAGUGUGGCUCAGUGGAAGGAGCCCUGGCUUGAGAGUCAGAGGUCUUGGGUUCUAAUCCCAACUCUGCCG